Esox lucius (northern pike) is the source of this 1133-nucleotide long non-coding RNA. The record is from Ensembl. NCBI's taxonomy places the organism in Eukaryota, Metazoa, Chordata, Actinopteri, Esociformes, Esocidae.
GCCGGAUUGGGCAGAUAGACAUUCAGCUGAGUGGUUCGGUGCAGAUAACAAUGAAUGCAAAUACACAGCGAGAGUGACAGAUUAACCUUGGGCAAGGUUGAGCAUAGCGGUGCUGGAAACACAGUGUAUCCUGUUGGAUGCCUGCAGUGAGAAUACACACACACACACACACACACACACAGAGAGAGAGAGAGAGAGAGAGAGAGAGAGAGAGAGGGAAUCAUAUGCUCUAUUUUUAAAAAUUCAUUUGAAACCACAAAUUGUGUUUCAGUCGAAAAGAUGGACACUCAGACAUUUGCAUUAGGCUUGCCAUGACCUCUGACCCAGAGCAACACUUUACAAGUUGCUUUGCUUUGGUUUUUAGACGGGCAUGCGAUCUGAACUCCACGCACUGUCUGCCAGAAAAUGUCUGAGAAUCCCCAAUCUCCCAGAUAAACUUGAUCACCUAGAAGAACUUUGGAAAGAGAUACACAAUAUAGAAAUAAUAUGUGCUGGCUAUUAUUAUAAUAGAAUGUGAGCCAGUGUCCCUCGGGUGAUAGAUCCUCGGGUGAUAGAUCCUCGGGUGGUAGAUCCUCGGGUGGUAGAUCCUCGGGUGGUAGAUCCUCGGGUGGUAGAUCCUGGGGUGGUAGAUCCUUGGGUGGUAGAUCCUCGGGUGGUAGAUCCUCGGGUGGUAGAUCCUCGGGUGAUAGAUCCUCGGGUGGUAGAUCCUCGGGUGGUAGAUCCUCGGGAGGUAGAUCCUCGGGUGGUAGAUCCUCGGGUGAUAGAUCCUCGGGUGAUAGAUCCUCGGGUGGUAGAUCCUCGGGUGGUAGAUCCGUGGGUGGUAGAUCCUCAGGAGGUAGAUCCUUGGGUGGUUGAUCCUCGGGUGAUAGAUACCGGCCAGGACGGCAGUUUCGAUUUCCCCGGUGGUCCUGUACAAAACAAUGCAAUAAACAGGUGGGCAGGUUCUGGAUGAGAGCGUCUGCAGAGGGGUGUGUCUCUUAUGCCUCCAUCCAAUCACUAACGCCUCUGCCUCGUGACCCACUGCCCCCACAUACUUAGCAAUGCACAUUAGUAUGUUUAGAUGUGAAACGUACUGCUAGAAGUAACAUUUGUUCCAACGCUGGGCUGUUUUUCUAUAAGGCACUAAUGGCCUU